CCUACGGGUGGCAGCAGUGGGGAAUAUUGCACAAUGGGGGAAACCCUGAUGCAGCGACGCCGCGUGAGUGAAGAAGUAUUUCGGUACGUAAAGCUCUAUCAGCAGGGAAGAAAAUGACGGUACCUGACUAAGAAGCCCCGGCUAACUACGUGCCAGCAGCCGCGGUAAUACGUAGGGGGCAAGCGUUAUCCGGAUUUACUGGGUGUAAAGGGAGCGUAGACGGCAGCGCAAGUCUGGAGUGAAAUCCCAUGGCUUAACCAUGGAACUGCUUUGGAAACUGUGCAGCUAGAGUGCAGGAGAGGUAAGCGGAAUUCCUAGUGGAGCGGUGAAAUGCGUAGAUAUUAGGAGGAACACCAGUGGCGGAGGCGGCUUACUGGACGGUAACUGACGCUGAGGCUCGAAAGCGUGGGGAGCAAACAGGAUUAGAUACCCGUGUAGUC
RNAcentral lists this ribosomal RNA (440 nucleotides) under uncultured bacterium. RNAcentral's name for it is "partial 16S ribosomal RNA". It matches the Rfam family "Bacterial small subunit ribosomal RNA", at positions 338 to 795 of the family's 1533-position model. The record is from RNAcentral.